Molecule: ribosomal RNA, 810 nt
Filed under: Sedecimiella taiwanensis
Lineage: Eukaryota; Fungi; Ascomycota; Sordariomycetes; Hypocreales
Description: partial large subunit ribosomal RNA
Rfam family: Eukaryotic large subunit ribosomal RNA
Source: RNAcentral
UUGCCCUAGUAACGGCGAGUGAAGCGGCAACAGCUCAAAUUUGAAAUCUGGUCGCAAGGCCCGAGUUGUAAUUUGUAGAGGAUGCUUUGGGCGCGGCGCCUUCCGAGUUCCCUGGAACGGGACGCCACAGAGGGUGAGAGCCCCGUCUGGCUGGAUGCCUAGCCUAUGUAAAGCUCCUUCGACGAGUCGAGUAGUUUGGGAAUGCUGCUCAAAAUGGGAGGUAUAUGUCUUCUAAAGCUAAAUACCGGCCAGAGACCGAUAGCGCACAAGUAGAGUGAUCGAAAGAUGAAAAGCACUUUGAAAAGAGGGUUAAAUAGUACGUGAAAUUGUUGAGAGGGAAGCGCUUCUGACCAGACUUGGGCUCGGUGAAUCAUCCAGCGUUCUCGCUGGUGCACUUCGCCGGUCCAGGCCAACAUCAGUUCGUCGCGGGGGAUAAAGGCUUCGGGAAAGUGGCCCCCUCGGGGGUGUUAUAGACCGUUGUGCAAUACCCUGCGAUGGACUGAGGUUCGCGCUCCGCUAGGAUGUUGGCGUAAUGGUCAUCAGCGACCCGUCUUGAAACACGGACCAAGGAGUCGUCUUCGUAUGCGAGUGUUCGGGUGUCAAACCCCUACGCGAAAUGAAAGUGAACGGAGGGGAGAGCUUCGGCGCAUCCUCGACCGAUCCUGAUGUUCUCGGAUGGAUUUGAGUAAGAGCAUACGGGGCCGGACCCGAAAGAAGGUGAACUAUGCCUGUAUAGGGUGAAGCCAGAGGAAACUCUGGUGGAGGCUCGCAGCGGUUCUGACGUGCAAAUCGAUCGUCAAAUAUGGGCAU